GGUUCGGCCGGAUUUUACACAAGUGUUGCAUGGCUGUCGWCAGCUCGUGUCKUGAGAUGUUGGGUUAAGUCCCGCAMCGAGCGCAACCCUCAUCCUUAGUUGCCAUCAGGUAAUGCUGAGUACUUUAAGGAAACUGCCAGUGAUAAGCUGGAGGAAGGUGGGGAUGAUGUCAAGUCAUCAUGGCCUUUAUGGAGUGGGCUACACACGUGCUACAAUGGUGUCUACAAUGGGCUGCAAGGUGCGCAAGCCUAAGCUAAUCCCUAAAAGACAUCUCAGUUCGGAUUGUACUCUGCAACUCGAGUACAUGAAGUUGGAAUCGCUAGUAAUCGUGGAUCAKCAUGCCACGGUGAAUACGUUCUCGGGUCUUGUACACACUGCCCGUCACGCCAUGG
Molecule: ribosomal RNA, 392 nt
Filed under: Wolbachia pipientis
Lineage: Bacteria; Pseudomonadati; Pseudomonadota; Alphaproteobacteria; Rickettsiales; Anaplasmataceae
Description: bacterial SSU rRNA
Rfam family: Bacterial small subunit ribosomal RNA
Source: RNAcentral